RNAcentral lists this long non-coding RNA (305 nucleotides) under Mus spicilegus (steppe mouse). RNAcentral describes it as "lncRNA (ENSMSIG00000007954.1)". The record is from RNAcentral. Lineage: Eukaryota; Metazoa; Chordata; Mammalia; Rodentia; Muridae.
GAAGGUUAUAGAGACUUUGAACAGGAAUUUGAUGCAUAGUGGAGGUUUGCAGAAUUCCUGGAAAACAAAACAACAAAACUGGAGAAUCUGUUAGAAAGGAUUCAUGUGAGGAGAAGCUAGAAUAUUAGAAAGGAUGCCAUCAGGAUGCCUACUGCCACUCCUGGACAGCGGACAUGGUGCCUACAAGACUUCGUCCUGACUCUGUUCAGCCCCAUCCCUGUCAUUGCUGCAGCUCACUGCAUUUGAUCAUGGCCAGUAAUCAUGCCUGCAUCCUAACUAGAAAGAAAUAUCGCUGAGCCAGAGUA